CGUUAGCGGCGGACGGGUGAAGUAACACGUGGGUAACCUACCUAUAAGACUGGGAUAACUUCGGGAANNNNNAGCUAAUACCGGNNNNNNUUUGGAACCGCAUGGUUCUAAAGUGAAAGAUGGUUUUGCUAUCACUUAUAGAUGGACCCGCGCCGUAUUAGCUAGUUGGUAAGGUAACGGCUUACCAAGGCAACGAUACGUAGCCGACCUGAGAGGGUGAUCGGCCACACUGGAACUGAGACACGGUCCAGACUCCUACGGGAGGCAGCAGUAGGGAAUCUUCCGCAAUGGGCGAAAGCCUGACGGAGCAACGCCGCUUGAGUGAUGAAGGGUUUCGGCUUGUAAAACUCUGUUUUUAGGGAAGAACAAAUGUGUAAGUAACUGUGCACAUCUUGACGGUACCUAAUCAGAAAGCCAGGGCUAAUUACGUGCCAGCAGCCGCGGUAAUACGUAGGUGGCAAGCGUUAUCCGGAAUUAUUGGGCGUAAAGCGCGCGUAGGCGGUUUCUUAAGUCUGAUGUGAAAGCCCACGGCUCAACCGUGGAGGGUCAUUGGAAACUGGGAAACUUGAGUGCAGAAGAGGAAAGUGGAAUUCCAUGUGUAGCGGUGAAAUGCGCAGAGAUAUGGAGGAACACCAGUGGCGAAGGCGACUUUCUGGUCUGUAACUGACGCUGAUGUGCGAAAGCGUGGGGAUCAAACAGGAUUAGAUACCCUGGUAGUCCACGCCGUAAACGAUGAGUGCUAAGUGUUAGGGGGUUUCCGCCCCUUAGUGCUGCAGCUAACGCAUUAAGCACUCCGCCUGGGGAGUACGACCGCAAGGUUGAAACUCAAAGGAAUUGACGGGGACCCGCACAAGCGGUGGAGCAUGUGGUUUAAUUCGAAGCAACGCGAAGAACCUUACCAAAUCUUGACAUCCUUUGAAAACUCUAGAGAUAGAGCCUUCCCCUUCGGGGGACAAAGUGACAGGUGGUGCAUGGUUGUCGUCAGCUCGUGUCGUGAGAUGUUGGGUUAAGUCCCGCAACGAGCGCAACCCUUAAGCUUAGUUGCCAUCAUUAAGUUGGGCACUCUAGGUUGACUGCCGGUGACAAACCGGAGGAAGGUGGGGAUGACGUCAAAUCAUCAUGCCCCUUAUGAUUUGGGCUACACACGUGCUACAAUGGACAAUACAAAGGGCAGCUAAACCGCGAGGUCAUGCAAAUCCCAUAAAGUUGUUCUCAGUUCGGAUUGUAGUCUGCAACUCGACUACAUGAAGCUGGAAUCGCUAGUAAUCGUAGAUCAGCNNNNUANNNUGAAUACGUUCCCGGGUCUUGUACACACCGCCCGUCACACCACGAGAGUUUGUACAC
Molecule: ribosomal RNA, 1344 nt
Filed under: Staphylococcus saprophyticus
Lineage: Bacteria; Bacillati; Bacillota; Bacilli; Caryophanales; Staphylococcaceae
Description: bacterial SSU rRNA
Rfam family: Bacterial small subunit ribosomal RNA
Source: RNAcentral